GAUGAACGCUGGCGGCGUGCUUAACACAUGCAAGUCGAACGGGAAAUAUUUCAUUGAGACUUCGGUGGAUUUGAUUUAUUUCUAGUGGCGGACGGGUGAGUAACGCGUGGGUAACCUGCCUUAUACAGGGGGAUAACAGUCAGAAAUGGCUGCUAAUACCGCAUAAGCGCACAGAGCUGCAUGGCUCAGUGUGAAAAACUCCGGUGGUAUAAGAUGGACCCGCGUUGGAUUAGCUAGUUGGUGGGGUAACGGCCCACCAAGGCGACGAUCCAUAGCCGGCGUGCUAAGGGGAGCGGCCACAUUGGGACUGAGACACGGCCCGGACUCCUACGGGAGGGAGCAGUGGGGAAUAGUACACAAUGGGGGAGACCCUGAUGCAGCGACGGCGCGUGAAGGAAGAAGUAUCUCGGUAUGUAAACUUCUAUCAGCAGGGAAGAUAGUGACGGUACCUGACUAAGAAGCCCCGGCUAACUACGUG
RNAcentral lists this ribosomal RNA (478 nucleotides) under uncultured bacterium. Its description in RNAcentral is "partial 16S ribosomal RNA". It matches the Rfam family "Bacterial small subunit ribosomal RNA", at positions 28 to 507 of the family's 1533-position model. The record is from RNAcentral.